This 490-nucleotide ribosomal RNA is filed under the name uncultured bacterium. RNAcentral describes it as "bacterial SSU rRNA". It matches the Rfam family "Bacterial small subunit ribosomal RNA", at positions 15 to 507 of the family's 1533-position model. The record is from RNAcentral.
GAUCCUGGCUCAGAUUGAACGCUGGCGGAAUGCUUUACACAUGCAAGUCGAACGGUAGAGGGGCAACCCUCGAGAGUGGCGAACGGGUGAGUAAUAUAUCGGAACGUGCCCAGUCGUGGGGGAUAACGUAGCGAAAGUUACGCUAAUACCGCAUACGAUCUACGGAUGAAAGCGGGGAUCGCAAGACCUCGCGCGAUUGGAGCGGCCGAUAUCAGAUUAGGUAGUUGGUGGGGUAAAGGCUCACCAAGCCAACGAUCUGUAGCUGGUCUGAGAGGACGACCAGCCACACUGGAACUGAGACACGGUCCAGACUCCUACGGGAGGCAGCAGUGGGGAAUUUUGGACAAUGGACGCAAGUCUGAUCCAGCCAUUCCGCGUGCAGGAUGAAGGCCCUCGGGUUGUAAACUGCUUUUGUACGGAACGAAAAGGUUUCUAUUAAUACUAGGAGCUCAUGACGGUACCGUAAGAAUAAGCACCGGCCAACUAUGUG